UUGUUAUUUGGAAAGAAAAUGAAACUUCUCACUCAUUGUUGAAAGGAUUUUGGAAAAAUUAUAUUUUUCAAACUUACCCGUAUUUUUGGCAUCUUCGGCAAAAGAAUUGAAUUUCUACUAAGAUAUUUGAAAAGCAUGCCUAUUUUCUGGAACUAUGAACGAGUUGUGCAUUUUUACUUCGGAGAUACCCCUUUACUUCUUGUGUUAUGCUGUUAUGAACUGUUGUAGAAUUCCGGUAUGAGACCCGACCUUGUGAUAGCUCGUCACUGCUUUCAACCUAAGGUUAGGUUUGUUACUUACUCAGUACAUGGGGUCGAUUGUACUGAUACUACACUUUUGCACAUUGCGUGCAAAUGUUGGCUACAGUUGUUGCUGUGUUCGAGGGUUGCUGAAUUUGAAGAUGUACCCGCGCCCAUGUUGUAGCUGCCUCUGUUGUUCUGGGUAGCCUUAGAUUAAAUUGUGCUGUUUAUGUAGUUUUCAAACAGACUAUGUGUUUAUUUCAUUUCCGCUUUGUAAAUUCUAUUCUUAGUAGCUCAUGAUUUGUACUACCAAUCAUUGAGAAAUAUAAUAGAUCCAGAUAAUUUAUUCUGUUUAAUUGACUUGUUAACAUUAUUGAAAUUGGAUAGUUAUUAAUUGGCUUACCUAGCGGGUUGAGUUAGGUGCCAUCACGACUAACGUAUUUUGGGUCGUGACAAAUUUUAAUGCAUAAAUUAAAGUUUUUGAGAGUCAAAACUUUUGAUGUAAAAGGGCGCCCACAACUAGGAUAGCGAGUCGACUAGCUUUCAGCAGGUAGAAAAUUAAUCUUUUUUCUUUCUGUUUCCACCAGUUUCUAAGUUGUCAAUUUAAGGAUGUGCCGUUUCUGUUUUCCAGGUAUUUAGUUCACAAGAGCAACAUCUGCACUCAAUGUGAUGUCUGAAAACAUUGACAAGAAGCUAUAUUUUUUUGGCAGCCAGAUAUGUGCUAUCAAUUGUAACUUCCACUUUGCAAUGAUUACGGAUUUGCUAGUGAGGUGCAUUGGAAAUGAAAGUAGAGCAAAAAGAAUAAUUAAAGUCUAAAGCGUGCUCGAAACCAGUUGAAAAGAAGAAAGAAAGAAGUGAGCAACCGACAAAUGAAAAGCUGACGAAGCCAGGCCUAGAGCAGGCGUUAGAGCAGGCUGGGCGAGCCCUUUAGCUCGCGUGAGAGCUGGCGAGACGAGGUAGAAGGCGAGAUCCACCGAGCAUUGAAGCUGGCGAAGCCAGGCCUGAGGCGAGCUCGAGCUGGCGUUAUACCUCGCGAGGCCAGGUCUGAGGAGCGCACAUUCCGAGCUAUGAAGGCUUAUUUCGUCUCCUGGUUUAACUAGGACUUGGCCUACGCGUUUAGGUCUUUUCCUAAACAUAUAAAUAGACCUAAAACGCCACUUUUGAAGGACUUUUGCAACCGGAGGCAAGGAUAGCUCGUGGAACAAUUGUUGGGAGUAAGAAUCAUCGAUUUCUACAUCCCUUUAUCCUUACUUUGUAAUUUAAUUAUGCAAAAUAUUUUGGAUAUUGUUACUAUGAGUAUGAGUAGUGUAUACGGUCGAAACCUAUUAAGUCAGUCGUAUGGACUGGUCGAGAUAACAAUAUUUCGAUCGAAAGGUAUCUACGUAAGGUCAGGUCGAGGUCCGAAGAAAAGGCUUCAGGAUUCGAGCUCCAAGACCGAUCAAAGAUCAGUUCGGUAUCAUUAUCGGGACCACGACCAAAUCGAACCACGAGGCAAAAGGUUGUCAGAGAUGCACAGACUGACCGACACCCACCCCGAAUAUCAAGACACCGAGUCAGGAUCGAGCUCGAGUCAAGGCUGAUGACUCGACCCGAUAUCGAGUUCGAGUCAGUAUCGAGCUCACAGACAAGGCCGUUACAACCGCACUAAGGGAGAGAAUCCCGGCGGGAAUUAGGAAAAAGACAAUACAUCAUGGGCUCUCCACUACAUAUUUUUUAUUAUAUAUAAAGUAAGAUCCAUCUACUAUAAAGGGAGGAUUAUGGUAAGCAUAAGGCAUGGACACAUUGUAACAAAAGAUUACUUCUCAUAUUGAACGAUAUCUCCUUGUGCUUGUUUUACUUUA
This is a non-coding RNA of Nicotiana tabacum (common tobacco), 2080 nucleotides long. NCBI's taxonomy places the organism in Eukaryota, Viridiplantae, Streptophyta, Magnoliopsida, Solanales, Solanaceae. The record is from RefSeq and is a predicted model, not a curated record.